Molecule: ribosomal RNA, 401 nt
Filed under: uncultured bacterium
Lineage: Bacteria
Description: bacterial SSU rRNA
Rfam family: Bacterial small subunit ribosomal RNA
Source: RNAcentral
UGGGGAAUAUUGGACAAUGGGCGCAAGCCUGAUCCAGCCAUGCCGCGUGGGUGAUGAAGGCCUUAGGGUUGUAAAGCUCUUUUGUCAGGGAAGAUAAUGACGGUACCUGAAGAAUAAGCACCGGCUAACUUCGUGCCAGCAGCCGCGGUAAUACGAAGGGUGCUAGCGUUGUUCGGAAUUACUGGGCGUAAAGCGCACGUAGGCGGAUCGUUAAGUCGGGGGUGAAAUCCUGGAGCUCAACUCCAGAACUGCCUUCGAUACUGGCGAUCUUGAGUCCGGAAGAGGUGAGUGGAACUCCUAGUGUAGAGGUGGAAUUCGUAGAUAUUAGGAAGAACACCAGUGGCGAAGGCGGCUCACUGGUCCGGUACUGACGCUGAGGUGCGAAAGCGUGGGGAGCAAAC